This 528-nucleotide ribosomal RNA is filed under the name uncultured bacterium. RNAcentral's name for it is "bacterial SSU rRNA". It matches the Rfam family "Bacterial small subunit ribosomal RNA", at positions 355 to 896 of the family's 1533-position model. The record is from RNAcentral.
UGGGGAAUUUUCCGCAAUGGGCGAAAGCCUGACGGAGCAAUACCGCGUGAGGGAUGACGGCCUAUGGGUUGUAAACCUCUUUUUUCAGGGAGGAAUAAAUGACGUGUACCUGAAGAAUAAGCAUCGGCUAACUCCGUGCCAGCAGCCGCGGUAAGACGGAGGAUGCAAGUGUUAUCCGGAAUCACUGGGCGUAAAGCGUCUGUAGGUGGUUUAAUAAGUCAACUGUUAAAUCUUGAGGCUCAACCUCGAAACCGCAGUCGAAACUAUUAGACUAGAGUAUAGUAGGGGUAAAGGGAAUUUCCAGUGGAGCGGUGAAAUGCGUAGAGAUUGGAAAGAACACCGAUGGCGAAGGCACUUUACUGGGCUAUUACUAACACUGAGAGACGAAGGCUAGGGUAGCAAAUGGGAUUAGAUACCCCAGUAGUCCUAGCUGUAAACUAUGGAUACUAGAUGUUGAACAGAUCGACCUGUGCAGUAUCAAAGCUAACGCAUUAAGUAUCCCGCCUGGGAAGUAUGCUCGCAAGAGUG